This 421-nucleotide ribosomal RNA is filed under the name uncultured Glomeraceae. RNAcentral's name for it is "SSU rRNA". It matches the Rfam family "Eukaryotic small subunit ribosomal RNA", at positions 459 to 886 of the family's 1831-position model. The record is from RNAcentral. Lineage: Eukaryota; Fungi; Glomeromycota; Glomeromycetes; Glomerales; Glomeraceae.
GGGAGGUAGUGACAAUAAAUAACAAUACGGGGUUCUAUAGGAUUUCGUAAUUGGAAUGAGUACAAUUUAAAUCUCUUAACGAUCAACAAUUGGAGGGCAAGUCUGGUGCCAGCAGCCGCGGUAAUUCCAGCUCCAAUAGCGUAUAUUAAAGUUGUUGCAGUUAAAAAGCUCGUAGUUGAAUUUCGGGAUUAGUAGGUUGGUCAUGCCUCUGGUAUGUACUGGUCUCACUGAUUCCUCCUUCUUGACGAACUGUAAUGUCAUUAAUUUGGUAUUGCGGGAAAUCAGGACUGUUACUUUGAAAAAUUAGAGUGUUUAAAGCAGGUUAACGCUUGAAUACAUUAGCAUGGAAUAAUGAAAAAGGACGUUAAUCCUAUUUUGUUGGUUUCUAGGAUCGACGUAAUGAUUAAUAGGGAUAGUUGGG